Molecule: ribosomal RNA, 474 nt
Filed under: uncultured organism
Description: partial 16S ribosomal RNA
Rfam family: Bacterial small subunit ribosomal RNA
Source: RNAcentral
UGUACACUCCUGCGGGAGGCAGCAGUGGGGAAUUUUGGACAAUGGGCGCAAGCCUGAUCCAGCCAUGCCGCGUGCGGGAAGAAGGCCUUCGGGUUGUAAACCGCUUUUGUCAGGGAAGAAAAGGUUCUGGCUAAUACCUGGGACUCAUGACGGUACCUGAAGAAUAAGCACCGGCUAACUACGUGCCAGCAGCCGCGGUAAUACGUAGGGUGCAAGCGUUAAUCGGAAUUACUGGGCGUAAAGCGUGCGCAGGCGGUUAUGCAAGACAGAGGUGAAAUCCCCGGGCUCAACCUGGGAACUGCCUUUGUGACUGCAUGGCUAGAGUACGGUAGAGGGGGAUGGAAUUCCGCGUGUAGCAGUGAAAUGCGUAGAUAUGCGGAGGAACACCGAUGGCGAAGGCAAUCCCCUGGACCUGUACUGACGCUCAUGCACGAAAGCGUGGGGAGCAAACAGGAUUAGAAACCCCAGUAGUCC